GGGGAAUUUUGGACAAUGGGGGCAACCCUGAUCCAGCCAUGCCGCGUGAGUGAUGAAGGCCUUCGGGUUGUAAACCUCUAAAAGAGGGACGAUAAUGACGGUACCUCUUGAAUAGCACCGGCUAACUCCGUGCCAGCAGCCGCGGUAAUACGGAGGGUGCAAGCGUUAUCCGGAAUCACUGGGCGUAAAGGGCGCGUAGGCGGUCUGUUAAGUCCGAUGUUAAAUCCCGGGGCUCAACCCCGGAUAAGCGUUGGAUACUGGCAGGCUAGACGGUUGGAGAGGCGAGUGGAAUUACCAGUGUAGCGGUGGAAUGCGUAGAUACUGGUAGGAACACCCAUUGCGAAGGCAGCUCGCUGGACAACACGUGACGCUGAGGCGCGAAAGUGUGGGGAGCAAACC
RNAcentral lists this ribosomal RNA (399 nucleotides) under uncultured bacterium. RNAcentral describes it as "bacterial SSU rRNA". It matches the Rfam family "Bacterial small subunit ribosomal RNA", at positions 356 to 774 of the family's 1533-position model. The record is from RNAcentral.